This 177-nucleotide ribosomal RNA is filed under the name uncultured soil bacterium. RNAcentral's name for it is "partial 16S ribosomal RNA". It matches the Rfam family "Bacterial small subunit ribosomal RNA", at positions 355 to 524 of the family's 1533-position model. The record is from RNAcentral.
UAGGGAAUCUUCCGCAAUGGACGAAAGUCUGACGGAGCAACGCCGCGUGAGUGAUGAAGGCUUUCGGGUCGUAAAACUCUGUUGUUAGGGAAGAACAAGUACAAGAGUAACUGCUUGUACCUUGACGGUACCUAACCAGAAAGCCACGGCUAACUACGUGCCAGCAGCCGCGGUAAU